RNAcentral lists this ribosomal RNA (305 nucleotides) under uncultured bacterium. Its description in RNAcentral is "bacterial SSU rRNA". It matches the Rfam family "Bacterial small subunit ribosomal RNA", at positions 334 to 655 of the family's 1533-position model. The record is from RNAcentral.
UUGUCCUACGGGGGGCAGCAGUGGGGAAUAUUGCACAAUGGGGGAAACCCUGAUGCAGCAACGCCGCGUGGGUGAAGGAGCGUUUCGGCGCGUAAAGCCCUGUCAGCGGGGAAGAAGAAAGACGGUACCUGACUAAGAAGCCCCGGCUAACUACGUGCCAGCAGCCGCGGUAAUACGUAGGGGGCAAGCGUUAUCCGGAUUUACUGGGUGUAAAGGGAGCGUAGACGGCAUAGCAAGUCUGAAGUGAAAGCCCGUGGCUCAACCGCGGAACUGCUUUGGAAACUGUUAAGCUGGAGUACUGGAGG